Diceros bicornis minor is the source of this 379-nucleotide long non-coding RNA. RefSeq lists it as uncharacterized. Lineage: Eukaryota; Metazoa; Chordata; Mammalia; Perissodactyla; Rhinocerotidae. The record is from RefSeq and is a predicted model, not a curated record. The transcript is spliced from 4 exons.
CAGGACCCUGUAUGUAGUACAGAUCUCCCUUCUUGCAGGAGUGGUGUACUACUAUUUUCAUGGGUCUGUGGGGAAAACAGCCCCUGACCAUGAGAUUGCUGGGGAAUCAUCACAGCCCAUAGGAGAGACCUUAAGGCUAGUGUGGGGGCUGAUGGAUAAGUGCUACCCUGUGACCACUCAGAGACGCAGAGUUAAGAGCGGGAAGAAGCAAGCCUCUGAGGUAAGUGAGGCCUCCCCUGUAAGGGCCCAGGGCUGGGGCUGUCUCCUGUCAGAGCUCCAUGAGACCCAGGGACACCUCAGCUCAUGGCAGCGAGUCCCAGAGAUAGUGGCAGCGCCCCCUCCAGGAAACUCGCAACUGCACCACAGCUUGAGCUGAGAA